Long non-coding RNA from Gasterosteus aculeatus aculeatus (three-spined stickleback), 357 nucleotides. Lineage: Eukaryota; Metazoa; Chordata; Actinopteri; Perciformes; Gasterosteidae. The record is from Ensembl.
GAAAAGUGUUGUUGAAUGUUGACUCGCAGGAUCUAAUCUACUCUCAUCCUUAUCAAAACCCAUGAUUUAAACUGGAAUAGGAGUCUCAGUGGACAAUUUUUCAAGGCAACACAAAGCCUUGCCCCCACCUGACCAAUGAGCUUCAACACUGCAGCAACAUGGUGUGCACUGUUUAAGACCAUUCCAACCCAUCAAGUCACAUCGGGGGGAAACCAAAGGUCCUGUUCUGCUAUAACACCACGCCUCACCAGGUCACAGGAGAGUCUCCCUUCUUUCUGAUGUUCGACCGUGACCCCGGGCUCCCUGUUGACUUUUUGUUGGGUCGAGUCCGUGACCCUGUACCCGGGAAAGUACAAG